Molecule: long non-coding RNA, 592 nt
Organism: Bubalus bubalis (water buffalo)
Lineage: Eukaryota; Metazoa; Chordata; Mammalia; Artiodactyla; Bovidae
Exons: 2
Source: RefSeq, a predicted model, not a curated record
CAACUUUCCUUCCAAGGAGCAAGUGUCUGUUAAUUUCACAGCUGCAGUCACCAUCCACGGUGAUUUUGGAGCCCAACAAAUGAUGACUUGUCUUCAAGCUUUCUCCCAGUGUGCUCUCUGAUCUCUCUGGCAGGAUGGGAGAAGAGAUCCAGAAAUCAGAGCUACUGCAGUGCCCACCCGCAUCCUCCAUUUCCUCAGAAUUGUGUGCAGAGAGGGCCCAGUGCUGUUCCCUGAGGUAGUCCAGCUUCAGCUUGAGUCAGCUUCCCCCACCCGCCUGGUGUCCCUGCCCCUUUACCUGCAUGGCCAGAGGGACCUGGUCCUUCCGAACCCUGAACUUUUCAAGCCUUUGAGAUCAACAGUGAUGCACAGUUACUGUUUGCUCGGUCUGCCAUCCAGAGUAGAAAUACCAGGGGUUGCUUUAUUUCCUUUCCUCUUCAUCUUUGUGGAUUUUAUACCUUGAAGAAAACCAAACAAAACCUUUAUGGUGGUUUUUACUGCUGCUUCACAAUGAAACCAAUUUAAAUAGAUACUAUUAUUACCCAGAAGUCCCCAUUUGCUGUUUUUAUCAAUAAAGGGCCCAAACUCAUUCUUU